This is a transfer RNA of Sclerotinia sclerotiorum, 82 nucleotides long. It matches the Rfam family "tRNA". Rfam says of the family: Transfer RNA (tRNA) molecules are approximately 80 nucleotides in length. Their secondary structure includes four short double-helical elements and three loops (D, anti-codon, and T loops). Lineage: Eukaryota; Fungi; Ascomycota; Leotiomycetes; Helotiales; Sclerotiniaceae. The record is from Rfam.
UCCGAAUUAGUGUAGGGGUUAACAUAACUCGCUUUCAUACACAGGAACCGAGUAGCCCCGGGUUCGAUUCCCGGAUUCGGAA